This 1308-nucleotide ribosomal RNA is filed under the name Cronobacter sakazakii. RNAcentral's name for it is "bacterial LSU rRNA". It matches the Rfam family "Bacterial large subunit ribosomal RNA", at positions 1639 to 2925 of the family's 2925-position model. The record is from RNAcentral. Lineage: Bacteria; Pseudomonadati; Pseudomonadota; Gammaproteobacteria; Enterobacterales; Enterobacteriaceae.
AAAUCGUACCCCAAACCGACACAGGUGGUCAGGUAGAGAAUACCAAGGCGCUUGAGAGAACUCGGGUGAAGGAACUAGGCAAAAUGGUGCCGUAACUUCGGGAGAAGGCACGCUGACAUGUAGGUGAAGCCCCUGCGGGUGGAGCUGAAGUCAGUCGAAGAUACCAGCUGGCUGCAACUGUUUAUUAAAAACACAGCACUGUGCAAACACGAAAGUGGACGUAUACGGUGUGACGCCUGCCCGGUGCCGGAAGGUUAAUUGAUGGGGUUAUCGCAAGAGAAGCUCCUGAUCGAAGCCCCGGUAAACGGCGGCCGUAACUAUAACGGUCCUAAGGUAGCGAAAUUCCUUGUCGGGUAAGUUCCGACCUGCACGAAUGGCGUAAUGAUGGCCAGGCUGUCUCCACCCGAGACUCAGUGAAAUUGAACUCGCUGUGAAGAUGCAGUGUACCCGCGGCAAGACGGAAAGACCCCGUGAACCUUUACUACAGCUUGACACUGAACAUUGAGCCUUGAUGUGUAGGAUAGGUGGGAGGCUUUGAAGCGUGGACGCCAGUCUGCGUGGAGCCGACCUUGAAAUACCACCCUUUAAUGUUUGAUGUUCUAACCUGGCGCCGUGAUCCGGCGUGGGGACAGUGUCUGGUGGGUAGUUUGACUGGGGCGGUCUCCUCCCAAAGUGUAACGGAGGAGCACGAAGGUCAGCUAAUCCUGGUCGGACAUCAGGAGGUUAGUGCAAUGGCAUAAGCUGGCUUGACUGCGAGAGUGACGGCUCGAGCAGGUGCGAAAGCAGGUCAUAGUGAUCCGGUGGUUCUGUAUGGAAGGGCCAUCGCUCAACGGAUAAAAGGUACUCCGGGGAUAACAGGCUGAUACCGCCCAAGAGUUCAUAUCGACGGCGGUGUUUGGCACCUCGAUGUCGGCUCAUCACAUCCUGGGGCUGAAGUAGGUCCCAAGGGUAUGGCUGUUCGCCAUUUAAAGUGGUACGCGAGCUGGGUUUAGAACGUCGUGAGACAGUUCGGUCCCUAUCUGCCGUGGGCGCUGGAGAAUUGAGGGGGGCUGCUCCCAGUACGAGAGGACCGGAGUGGACGCAUCACUGGUGUUCGGGUUGUCAUGCCAAUGGCACUGCCCGGUAGCUAAAUGCGGAAGAGAUAAGUGCUGAAAGCAUCUAAGCACGAAACUUGCCCCGAGAUGAGUUCUCCCUGAGACUGUAAGUCUCCUGAAGGAACGUUGAAGACGACGACGUUGAUAGGCCGGGUGUGUAAGCGCAGCGAUGCGUUGAGCUAACCGGUACUAAUGAACCGUGAGGCUUAACCUU